Molecule: ribosomal RNA, 251 nt
Filed under: uncultured bacterium
Lineage: Bacteria
Description: partial 16S ribosomal RNA
Rfam family: Bacterial small subunit ribosomal RNA
Source: RNAcentral
CUCGCGAGAGUAAGCUAAUCUCUUAAAGCCGUUCUCAGUUCGGACUGUAGGCUGCAACUCGCCUACACGAAGUCGGAAUCGCUAGUAAUCGCGGAUCAGCACGCCGCGGUGAAUACGUUCCCGGGCCUUGUACACACCGCCCGUCACACCAUGGAAGUCUGCAAUGCCCGAAGCCGGUGGCCUAACCACUUAUGUGGAAGGAGCCGUCUAAGGCAGGGCAGAUGACUGGGGUGAAGUCGUAACAAGGUAAC